RNAcentral lists this ribosomal RNA (253 nucleotides) under uncultured bacterium. RNAcentral's name for it is "partial 16S ribosomal RNA". It matches the Rfam family "Bacterial small subunit ribosomal RNA", at positions 524 to 776 of the family's 1533-position model. The record is from RNAcentral.
UACGGAGGAUCCAAGCGUUAUCCGGAUUUAUUGGGCUUAAAGGGUGCGUAGGCGGCUUUGUAAGUUAGAGGUGAAAGCCUGGAGCUCAACUUCAGAAUUGCCUUUAAGACUGCAUCGCUUGAAUCCGGGAGAGGUGAGUGGAAUUCCGAGUGUAGAGGUGAAAUUCGUAGAUAUUCGCAAGAACACCAGUGGCGAAGGCGGCUCACUGGCCCGGUACUGACGCUGAGGUGCGAAAGCGUGGGGAGCAAACAGG